This is a long non-coding RNA of Octopus sinensis (East Asian common octopus), 590 nucleotides long. RefSeq lists it as uncharacterized. The record is from RefSeq and is a predicted model, not a curated record. The transcript is spliced from 4 exons. NCBI's taxonomy places the organism in Eukaryota, Metazoa, Mollusca, Cephalopoda, Octopoda, Octopodidae.
CAGGUAUUAACUUGCAAAGGUUCAAGAGAAACAUUAAUUACAUCAAUCUCACUAUUCUAGGAGGAUUUGUGAAGACCAUGGAAUGUCCCUUCUUCCAGACCCAACUAAUACUGAAAUGGAAAAAGACAUUACUGCUGAAAUCUAUUGCCAAUAAUUUGAUCAUGUAAAUGAAGCAUUACAUCAAAAGUGACCAGCUUUGGUAAACAGAAAAUGUGAGGGCUCUGCAAAAUGAACCAGGAAAAGAUGAGAUUGUUAGAAUGGAUGUUAACCAUUCAACUUUGUGAAAACAUAGAGAACUCACUGUUGUAAAGGAAGAAAUAAUGUUUCAUUCAUGCUAGCCAGAGCAUCAAUAACGACUGAAGCAUCGAUAACAACAGCUACACUAAACCAUUUAAAAGAUGAGAUGAAAACAUAGCAGAAGGAAUCUAUAUGACUAUAUGUUCCAGUUGGUGAGUUUAUGAUAUAAGAAAAGUUAUAACCUAUACAAGAUGACCCUUUUUUUCUUUGCCUUUUAACAUUCUGUUAAAGCUAUUAGUGAUGUGGUUUAAAGUAGUAUAUGAAUGAGAUGACUUCCAUAAAAUAUAUUUCUG